GUCUUUCAAGUUUUUCCAACUCAAUCAGCAACAAAAUUUUAUUUGCCUUGAAAAUCAGCUCCAAAAUAAAAAUUUUCGAAACAAUAAAGCAGUUCAUAGUUUCAACUUCGAUUCAAGGUGAUUAUAAUAAAAAAUGUUCAGUUCAUUGAAUUGCUGGACUUUCAUUCCAAUUGAAUCUGGAACAAUAAUAGCAGCACCAUAACUUCUAUAAUUCUAAUUUAAUUGCAAAUUCCGGCAAGAAUACUGGAAUCUCCAACGGAAAUUGCUUUCAUUAUGACCUUAACCUUAUCAUGUUUAUGAAGCUUCUGAUGAAAUGGUUCAUUGAUGGAAAGCUUUUUAUUGUUUUCUUAAUGGUUCCUACAAAUUUGUUUCUCGUUAUGGCUAACGAUCAUAAAACGAUAUCCUAGACGCCAAUUUUUAAUACGAUGCCAUUAUACCUCUGCUUUCAACUGUGAGUGAGACGACCGACGAGGGUGAAGACUGAAGACAUUGAAACGGGAAGUCCACGUGAUUUAUGGCAUAAUGGCAGAGCAAAAAGCCCUUAAAAGCCUUCUACAGUGAAGUCACAAUACAAAAAGAAAAAAAAAAAAAGCAAAAGAAGAAUGCAUUUCUUGCAAUAAAUUUAAUCUUCAAGAGGUGGCUGGCCUCAAGUUGGAAAUUCAAUAAGGUUCCGCGAGACCAGUUUCCUGAUGGUGUUAGAGAGAAGAAGAAACGAAAAGAGUGAGUGUUGGCACUCGAGCAUCUGCUAAAUUUAAGAGGUAGGAGCUCCAGCACAUUUCAAGUUCCUCCCAAUGGUAUAGGAAUGUAAGUUGAGCUGGUUUCUAUAUGUGCUUGUGCCUCAGUACACUUUCUAUUCAAGUGGAUUUUGAUGAUGUAUCUGGGAAGUUCAAUUGAAGAAAAAGCUAUACAAAUGGACAAAAAAAACACACACAUAACGUCAACGAGAAGGUGAUGGAUAAAGCCAUGGAGUAAGCCAAGCACUUCGAUUUCAUGCUUAUUCAAUCGUAUGACAAAUAAUAGACGACCCCAACGCUAAGUCCCAGUUACAUUUUCCUUACAAUAGAAAAUAUAUCAGACCCUGUGCCUUCAAUAAGAGAAUGUUGUGCGUUAUCUUGUUAUAUUGAGAGCAGGUUCUUAAUGUUCAAAAAAAUUUAAAGGCCUUUUUUUCAAGAACAUAACUAUUGGGAAACUGUCGAUGCUUAUGUGGGAUUCCUGGAUAGGGAAUGGGUCAUUAAAAUCACAUACUGCUAGAGUUGCUUCCGUGAAGAUAAAAUAUUAUUCUGUAUUUAUACAAAUACAUAUUUCCAUAUACAUAUAUAAAAGAAAGUCGUGUCAGUUACACUAUUAAUAAGUGAAGAACGGCCGGACCGAUUUGGCAGAAAAUUUGUGAGGAGGAAGCUUAGAGCUAGGAUACUUUGUAUAUCGUUUCCGGCGUGGGCCGCGACAUAAACCGUGGUAUAACAGAAAACAGCUGACAAGCUGACAUGGAAUAACAAUUUUUUUCUCUCAUAUUCAUAUAGUUCCAAGGAAGGUUUUAUGAAGAAAAAACAUGGUAAAAUUUACA
Molecule: long non-coding RNA, 1564 nt
Organism: Episyrphus balteatus (marmalade hoverfly)
Lineage: Eukaryota; Metazoa; Arthropoda; Insecta; Diptera; Syrphidae
Exons: 3
Source: RefSeq, a predicted model, not a curated record